UAAAAACCCCGACUUCGGAAGGGGUGUAUUUAUUAGAUACAAAACCAAUGCCCUUCGGGGCUCUUUGGUGAUUCAUGAUAACUAUACGAAUCGCACGGCCUUGCGCCGGCGAUGGUUCAUUCAAAUUUCUUCCCUAUCAACUUUCGAUGUUUGGGUAUUGGCCAAACAUGGUUGCAACGGGUAACGGAGGGCUAGGGCUCGACCCCGGAGAAGGAGCCUGAGAAACGGCUACUACAUCCAAGGAAGGCAGCAGGCGCGCAAAUUACCCAAUCCCGACUCGGGGAGGUAGUGACAAUAAAUACUGAUACAGGGCCCUUUCGGGCCUUGUGAUUGGAAUGAGUACAAUUUAAAUCCCUUAACGAGGGACAAUUGGAGGGCAAGUCUGGUGCCAGCAGCCGCGGUAAUUCCAGCUCCAAUAGCGUAUAUUAAAGUUGUUGUGGUUAAAAAGCUCGUAGUUGAACCUUGGGCCUGGCUGGCCGGUCCGCCUCACCGCGUGCACUGGUCCGGCCGGGCCUUUCCCUCUGUGGAACCCCAUACCCUUCACUGGGCGUGGCGGGGAAACAGGACAUUUACUUU
This 576-nucleotide ribosomal RNA is filed under the name uncultured eukaryote. RNAcentral's name for it is "SSU rRNA". It matches the Rfam family "Eukaryotic small subunit ribosomal RNA", at positions 174 to 758 of the family's 1831-position model. The record is from RNAcentral.